This 241-nucleotide long non-coding RNA is filed under the name Glycine max (soybean). Its description in RNAcentral is "long non-coding RNA (GMAX_LNC000613)". The record is from RNAcentral. Lineage: Eukaryota; Viridiplantae; Streptophyta; Magnoliopsida; Fabales; Fabaceae.
UAAUGGACAGAUUACCCACUAGGAAAAAUCUGCAAUGUAGGAACAUCUUGUUGAAAGAGCAACACUAGUUUUGUUCAUUCUGCUCAAGGGAAGAGGAGGAUUCACAUGUCUGUUUGCUUAUCAAAUUUGGCAAAACUGUUACAAAUGCAUUGGGAUUCAAAUUGCUCAACAUAGGGAUUCCAAAGAACAUUUCUUUAUGCAUAACUGUUUUUGGCUCGGGAGGAAUAGUUAUUGAGUGGAG